Molecule: ribosomal RNA, 465 nt
Filed under: Vreelandella stevensii
Lineage: Bacteria; Pseudomonadati; Pseudomonadota; Gammaproteobacteria; Oceanospirillales; Halomonadaceae
Description: partial 16S ribosomal RNA
Rfam family: Bacterial small subunit ribosomal RNA
Source: RNAcentral
CCUACGGGUGGCAGCAGUGGGGAAUAUUGGACAAUGGGCGAAAGCCUGAUCCAGCCAUGCCGCGUGUGUGAAGAAGGCCUUCGGGUUGUAAAGCACUUUCAGUGGGGAAGAAAGCCUUGGGGCUAAUACCCUCGAGGAAGGACAUCACCCACAGAAGAAGCACCGGCUAACUCCGCGCCAGCAGCCGCGGUAAUACGGAGGGUGCGAGCGUUAAUCGGAAUUACUGGGCGUAAAGCGCGCGUAGGCGGUCUGAUAAGCCGGUUGUGAAAGCCCCGGGCUCAACCUGGGAACGGCAUCCGGAACUGUCAGGCUAGAGUGCAGGAGAGGAAGGUAGAAUUCCCGGUGUAGCGGUGAAAUGCGUAGAGAUCGGGAGGAAUACCAGUGGCGAAGGCGGCCUUCUGGACUGACACUGACGCUGAGGUGCGAAAGCGUGGGUAGCAAACAGGAUUAGAUACCCCAGUAGUC